CUGGAAGCAGAGGCCAGCUCAGUGCACAGUCUGGAGAGGCAGGUGCAGGAGCUGGAGCAGCUGCUGGUGGAGAAGCAGGAGGAGAAGGAGAGCCUGGGCCAGGAGGUGGAGAGCCUGCAGAGCCUCCUGUCCCUGCUGGAGAAUGAGAGAGAGAACACCAGCUAUGACUUAGCCACCCUGCAGGAUGAGGAGGGUGAGAUGCCUGACAU
This is a long non-coding RNA of Onychomys torridus (southern grasshopper mouse), 209 nucleotides long. RefSeq lists it as uncharacterized. The transcript has 3 exons. The record is from RefSeq and is a predicted model, not a curated record. Lineage: Eukaryota; Metazoa; Chordata; Mammalia; Rodentia; Cricetidae.